RNAcentral lists this ribosomal RNA (864 nucleotides) under Torrubiella sp. RNAcentral's name for it is "partial large subunit ribosomal RNA". It matches the Rfam family "Eukaryotic large subunit ribosomal RNA", at positions 50 to 945 of the family's 3401-position model. Lineage: Eukaryota; Fungi; Ascomycota; Sordariomycetes; Hypocreales; Cordycipitaceae. The record is from RNAcentral.
GCGGAGGAAAAGAAACCAACAGGGAUUGCCCCAGUAACGGCGAGUGAAGCGGCAACAGCUCAAAUUUGAAAUCUGGCCCCUAGGGCCCGAGUUGUAAUUUGCAGAGGAUGCUUUUGGCGAGGUGCCUUCCGAGUUCCCUGGAACGGGACGCCAUAGAGGGUGAGAGCCCCGUCUGGUUGGAUACCGAGCCUCUGUAAAGCUCCUUCGACGAGUCGAGUAGUUUGGGAAUGCUGCUCUAAAUGGGAGGUAUAUGUCUUCUAAAGCUAAAUACCGGCCAGAGACCGAUAGCGCACAAGUAGAGUGAUCGAAAGAUGAAAAGCACUUUGAAAAGAGGGUUAAAUAGUACGUGAAAUUGUUGAAAGGGAAGCGCUUAUGACCAGACUUGGACCCGGUGAAUCAUCCAGCGUUCUCGCUGGUGCACUUUGCCGGGCUCAGGCCAGCAUCAGUUUGUCUCGGGGGAUAAAGGCUUAGGGAAUGUGGCUCCUCCGGGAGUGUUAUAGCCCUUUGCACAAUACCCUGGGGCGGACUGAGGUUCGCGCAUCUGCAAGGAUGCUGGCGUAAUGGUCAUCAGCGACCCGUCUUGAAACACGGACCAAGGAGUCGUCUUCGUAUGCGAGUGUUCGGGUGUAAAACCCCUACGCGUAAUGAAAGUGAACGCAGGUGAGAGCUUCGGCGCAUCAUCGACCGAUCCUGAUGUUCUCGGAUGGAUUUGAGUAAGAGCAUACGGGGCCGGACCCGAAAGAAGGUGAACUAUGCCUGUAUAGGGUGAAGCCAGAGGAAACUCUGGUGGAGGCUCGCAGCGGUUCUGACGUGCAAAUCGAUCGUCAAAUAUGGGCAUGGGGGCGAAAGACUAAUCGAACCUCU